CAGUCGCCGCGGGAAUACGAAGGGUGCAAGCGUUAAUCGGAAUUACUGGGCGUAAAGCGUGCGCAGGCGGUUCGCUAAGACAGAUGUGAAAUCCCCGGGCUUAACCUGGGAACUGCAUUUGUGACUGUAUAGCUAGAGUACGGUAGAGGGGGAUGGAAUUCCGCGUGUAGCAGUGAAAUGCGUAGAUAUGCGGAGGAACACCGAUGGCGAAGGCAAUCCCCUGGACCUGUACUGACGCUCAUGCACGAAAGCGUGGGGAGCAAACAGGAUUAGAUACCCCUGUAGUCCCUGUCUCUUAUAC
RNAcentral lists this ribosomal RNA (301 nucleotides) under uncultured bacterium. RNAcentral describes it as "partial 16S ribosomal RNA". It matches the Rfam family "Bacterial small subunit ribosomal RNA", at positions 509 to 807 of the family's 1533-position model. The record is from RNAcentral.